AACGAACGCUGGCGGCAUGCCUAACACAUGCAAGUCGAACGGGAUCCUAGCUUGCUAGGUGAGAGUGGCGGACGGGUGAGUAACACGUGGGAAUCUGCCUUUUGGUUCGGGAUAACCGCGGGAAACUGCGGCUAAUACCGAAUGCCCUCGAGAGAGGAAAGAUUUAUCGCCAGAAGAGGAGCCCGCGUCCGAUUAGGUAGUUGGUGGGGUAAAGGCCUACCAAGCCGACGAUCGGUAGCUGGUCUGAGAGGAUGAUCAGCCACACUGGGACUGAGAUACGGCCCAGACUCCUACGGGAGGCAGCAGUGGGGAAUAUUGGACAAUGGCGAAAGCCUGAUCCAGCAAUGCCGCGUGUGUGAAGAAGGUCUUCGGAUCGUAAAGCACUUUCGACAGGGACGAUGAUGACGGUACCUGUAGAAGAAGCCCCGGCUAACUUCGUGCCAGCAGCCGCGGUAAU
This 457-nucleotide ribosomal RNA is filed under the name uncultured bacterium. RNAcentral describes it as "bacterial SSU rRNA". It matches the Rfam family "Bacterial small subunit ribosomal RNA", at positions 29 to 524 of the family's 1533-position model. The record is from RNAcentral.